GUAAAGACAAAGGGGUGCCCCAUGGAGGGCUGAGAUUAUACCCGUUGAACCUGAUGCAGUUAGUACUGCCGUAGGAAUUGUUGCAAAGCUUAUU
Molecule: non-coding RNA, 94 nt
Filed under: Bacteroides luti
Lineage: Bacteria; Pseudomonadati; Bacteroidota; Bacteroidia; Bacteroidales; Bacteroidaceae
Description: TPP sequence
Rfam family: TPP riboswitch aptamer (THI element)
About the family: Vitamin B(1) in its active form thiamin pyrophosphate (TPP) is an essential coenzyme that is synthesised by coupling of pyrimidine and thiazole moieties in bacteria.
Source: Rfam by way of RNAcentral